Long non-coding RNA from Mesocricetus auratus (golden hamster), 6785 nucleotides. RefSeq lists it as uncharacterized. The transcript has 3 exons. The record is from RefSeq and is a predicted model, not a curated record. NCBI's taxonomy places the organism in Eukaryota, Metazoa, Chordata, Mammalia, Rodentia, Cricetidae.
GUCACUGGUGAGAGGCAGUCUGACUAAUUAUGAAGGAGUUGGUAAACCGCCUGCAUUCAUAUUUCUGUGGAAUGCCUGCACAUCCCAGUCCGGUGACUCAGCGAGGGCUGCUCCUGCGGCUUGUUCCAAAGCACACUGGGAGUUGUUGGGCAAAUAUUUGAACAGACUUUCAAUCUGAAACCCACGAGAAGCCCAGCCGUUCAGCGGCAGAGCCUACAACCCCUAGUAGCUCUUUUAGCCCCUUACAGCCAACCUCUGAUGAGUCUGGAAACAACUGAGCAACGAAUUCCAAACGGGACUGGCUCUCCAGAAAAUAUGUCACUGUUAAGGGGAGGGGAGAGGAAAGAUAACCAGAGGUCCAGAGCACCCCACUCCCACCCAGAGGGCUCCCUUUAUCUCCUAUGGUCUGGGUGUAUGGUUAUUCUGUGUUCAGAAGGAACUGAGUAUAUGAUUAAUUUUUGAUCUAGAAUGAGUCAGACAUGGGUGUGAAUUCCAGUUUUCCCAUCUACAAAGUGCUAAUUACAAACGUGCCCUCUUCCUGGGAGCUAGAGAGAGUUAAUGAGGCAAGAGGACAGUGCUGGGCAUGCCCCUUAGCGGGGCCUCGGAGGGUCCCCUCCACUUCAUUCCCCUCCGACCCUGCCCCGGGGCAAGGUUCAGUGGCGCAGAGGGGCUGCCUGCCUGGGUGGAGGAGAGAGUUGGGUUUCUCUAUGAGCUGCCCACCUAAAAGAUGACUCCACGGGAGACCCCGGGGGAUUUCCUGUAAUUUUUACUCUCAGUGUCCUAUUUAUAAAGUUUAGUCACUGCCGUUGUUUCGCAGCCACUUGGCAUGUGGAGACAGGUCAUAAUCGGAAACGGGUUCACAGGAGACUUCAUCUCACCCGCAGGCUUUGGGGGAGUCUGGGUCCAGCUCAGGAGACUUGCUGGGCUGGGAGGCUCAUCUUCCCAUUGGCCAGCCACACCCUGCUCUUACAUAUUCAAAGGAGAGUGGCCUCUGUCUUCAAGGGUUCCUUACAGGCUGCUUGUGAAGCCCAUCUCGGCGGGAGGCCUUGGCACGGAGUAUGGUCCCAAGAAGGCAUCUUUUGCUUCCUGCAGCAAGAACAGACCUGCCCAAGCAUCUCUGCUCAUCCCUGUCUCCAUAAAAAAAGGCAGGUUUUCCCGGGAGGUUCAGAGCUCCAAAGCCGGGCGUGCAGAAAUAGUGGAAACAAUUGAGGGGCAAAAGCAGGGGAACUGAACUGAAUCCAGCGAAGCUCAGCUACACUAUUUUGUUCCUGUUUGAUCCAGGACAGAGCCACAAGGGAGAACAAAGCCCCCUGCUGACUUCCCGAUUUCAUACCCACUCUGCUAGCGGCUGAAAUCAGGCUCUGUAAUCAGGGCUGGUAAACCAUUUCCUGUCUCCAGUGCUCCCAGAACACUGGGCAGGGCAGGGGUAGUCCCAUUUGUUGUUUUUCAUGGGGACAUGGCGCUUUCCAACCACAGCAGGCUUACUUCUUAGCUGUAGUUUCUCAUUAAGCAAGGCGAUCAGCAAACCGGCAUAAGGUUCUUAACCAGUUUCUCUUGGGAACCAGUCCUGGAAGCCUCCUAGGUUUGACGCUGACCUCCGGGGCUCUGUGUGUACAGAGUUCAGGUCUGCAGGUGUCCGUGGCUUGAGAAGCUUUGGGAUCAUAGCCCCAGCAGUGAGGCGGCUUCUGGGCCUCUCUCAGCUUGUGAGGGCUGAGGUGGAGUGACUGUCAUAACCCCCGGUGGUCUCUUGUGCCAGGGCUCCUCGGUGGCCUACAUUAGAGAUUCGAUGGCCCCGGGGAAUUCCGGGGGACCUCUGGCCCACCCUCUGGAGCAUCAGGCCCUUUUACCACCUGUUGUCUCGGGCGCCUCUCAAGUCCCAGGCUGACCACAGUCUUGGCCCAAGUCCCCCCCAGUCCUUAUUCUGUUCUUUCUCUAGCUUCCUUCUUUCUGUAUGUCUCCACCUCUUUCCAUUUCUAGGACUUUAAGCCCCCUUGUCUCCAUCCCUGUGUUUGUGGCCUGACAGUAAGUCUCCAAAAGCUACCUGGAACCCACGGAUCAGUCUACAGAGGCCCAGAGACUUUCCGCUUCUCAGUCCCAGAACUGUGAAAAAGUACAUUUCUACUGUUUGGAAGGUGCCCAGUCUGUUGCAACAGUCUCGUUUGUGAUGGAGUCAAGGCCCAUUCAGAACAGCUCCAUGUGCUAAGUGCUCCUUGGUGCCCACUAGCCGGGACAUCUCAUUUGCAAGGAAGCAUGGAUGGUGUAAUAAUGGGAGCAAACCUGCACAUCACUGGACUAUAAAAUCCAUUAAAAUAUUGACGGGUUUAAAGACUUAAUGACCCAGCAAAGAUGGAAAAUAUGUUUAAAUGCAGAUCUUGGUCAUUAAAAAAGCAUUUGUUAUGCCACAUUGGCCUCCUCUGAAAAUGGGUCUAAAGCAAGAACACACAUCACAAGAGUCUGGACCAGCAAAGGAGAUAUACUCCUCAUGGGGUGUCCAAUGAAGCAAAAACUCUGAGGUGCACAGAUUGCCCCUCUGGGCUGGUGAUACGGAAGCUCCAGAUAUGACAGAAGCUGCAGUAAAUCCACUACUCUAGAGACUUCUGAACUGUGAAAGCAUUUUCUGAGGAAGCCCUUCCUGAAGAGAAGAUACCAGAAACAGCAGGCGGUGAGGCAGCUGGAGAAGCUUGUGGGAGGAAAACCACUGAAGGGAGUGACUGGAAGAGGCUAACAGUUCCCCGUGGGUCCGUGAAUGGUCUUUCCCACCCAGCUGUAGCUUCUGCAUCUAUAUGAUAACCAGGGCUUUUGCAUUUAUAAGACAACACAGCCCUGGAGUCUGGGUGCUUAAACAGAAGAAACAUGUUCCUUAUAGUUUCUGAGAGUGAAAGACUAAAAUGUGGGAUCCGUUUCUUUUGUGGACUGUGAGGAAAGCACGUCCCGGGUGUCCCUGUCUUACUUGGUGUCCUUAUAUUGUCUUCCUUCUGAACGUAAGAAUUUCUUCUUGCUGUAAGGACACCAGAGAUCUCAGCUAAGAUGGUGGAAUAGAAGCAUCUUUUGUUCAACUUGGAAUGAGAACGAUCAAGCCAACAGAGGAGACAUUAUAUCUUCUGGAGAGAAAGUGAGAAACUCCACGAGCUAAUAAAGACUCCAGUCAGGUUGCGUUAGCGCCCGCCACGGUUGACCUCAUUCAACUUCGUUAGCUCUUCAUAGAUGUCACUUCCAACGUGGUCCCACUGGACGACUGGGGAGGAGGACUUCAACGUUCCAUUUUGGGGCAGUGGGACAUAGGUUGGUCCCUAAUAGUAACUGAAUGAUGACAGUGCACACAAAGGAGCUUUUGUAUAGGAAAUACUAAAACCUCAGUGUUGAAGAAGCUGAGCUUUCCUGAGGGUUUUCCCGAUGUAAGUCCAGCUCUCAAAGAUCGCCUCUGACAAACUGCAUGGGCAGCAACCGAGGCAACAGCUAGGGCUGUCAGUCAUCAGCAGGUCACAGGAUCCCGAGCACAUGACAUGGACCUCUGAGACUCAGUUCUCUUACUUAAAGUAAAGGAGUCAAGCCUGUGAGUUGAAUGUGCGGAUUGACAUUCCAACCUCUACUGUAUGACAGAGCAAGAAGAAACAAAACAGCAAAACCUACUUUCCCCGAAUUCCUUGGCAGCUAGAGUUUUUGUUGUGAGUUAAACACCCCCACUCCACCCCUACCCAUACUCACCCCUGCAACCUAGAUGCACUGGUGUGAAUGAACUUGAGGACAAGUGUGAAGCAGAAGACACUUUCCUACUGCUGCUUCUGCUGUAGGGUCUUAUAAGUAGGUCAAAGUUCUAGAAGCCAGCUAUGGGGGUGGGGUAGUGAGGCAGCAGCAGUGGAGUACUCCAGGAUUUCCUCCUGAAGACAAGAUGGCAAAAUUAGGACACACACACACACACACACACACACACACACACACACACACAGAGAGAGAAUUUCAUUGUCAUAGCAAAUGACUGGCGACAUUCGAAUGACCAUUGAUGGUGAUCGAGUUGAAUACACCAUGGGUCAUCUACACUCAUGCUGGAGCACUGUGUGGUUUCUAAGGAAUAAAAGGAGGUUUCCACAUAGUGACAUGGAAUAAUUCUCAAGAAAACUGAGGGAGAAGAAAGUACAACCUUUUAACACUGCCACUUAGAAAGAGAAGCUAAAAGUGCUUACUUAGGACUCUGACAUUGUUUGAAAGGAUGCUGUUUGCACCUGAACUUGCCUUUCUCCUCUGCCUCCUAGGGAAUGGAAUUAUAGGCAUGUGCCAUGCCACCAUGCUGGUUCAGAAGAAAAACUAAACAAUGGACAAAGUAUUAUGGUUUGGCUCUUAAUAGUUUUCUAAUGUCCAGGAGAUGAUUAACCAAUUUGUGGGUUCACAAUUUCAUGAAGGUUCUGUUCUAAGCCCUCUGCUUACUCUUCAUCCUGGGUCCAGACUCUACCCCCCAUGUGCACCCACCAUGAUGCUCUGCCACUCCUCAGGCCAGAACAAAGGAACCAAGCAACCAUGGGCCGAAACCUCUGUAAUCGUAAGCCAAAAUGUUUAUUAUUUGUUAUAAAUAGAUUUUUUCAUGUAUUUUGUCACAGCAAGAGAAAGCUGACAGCACACACGCCACAAUGAGUUGGCCCCAGAAAUCUUUCUGCAUAGUAAAAACAGCAGCACUAUGAUGUUAGGUCCUAGCCUGGCUCCUGCCAGUUCUGAAGAGCAGGAGAGUGGUCCAGGAAGAUGAGGGAAGGGCUUGUCUAGGCUCACAUCUUUGCGGAGAUCUGGGUGUUUUUAUCUUCCUCCUUUCACAGGUGAGGAAAUGAUAACAGAAGAAGGUCAGCAGCUUGAUCACAUCCAUGAGACAGGUAGAGCAGUCCAUCCCCCUUUCUGCAGGACAUGUUUCUUCUUUUAAAAGAUUUACAAUGCCUUGAUUUUUCUAUGCGUAUGAAUGUUUUGCCUGCAUGUAUGGAUGCAUACCAUUUGUGUGCCCAGUGCACUCGGAGUUCAGAAGAGGGUGUCAGAUCCCUAGAACUGGAGCUAGGGAUGGUUGUGAGUCACCAUAUAGGUGCUGGGAAUCAAACCACGGUCCUUUGCAAGAGCAACAGGUGCUCUCAACUGCUGAGCAACCUCUCCAGCCCCCAACAACUUAUUUCAAGAGCCCUCGCUGGAGAACCAGAAACUUUUCUAUCUUUAUUAGUAUUCCCCCGCCCACACACACAUACACACACACACACACACACACACACACACACACACACACACACACACACCAAAGCAGGGUUUUAUGCAGUUUAGGGUGUGAAAGCAAAACUAGCAUGGGUGUCUAUUGCUUUAACCCAGUUCCACAGGUUUGCUCUUGUUGCAUGUCUUAGCAAGCGUGGCAUGUGUUUCUCUUCCCUGGUGACUAUUUCCUUCGUCUUUUUCCCCCAAAUCACUCGUGUGACCUGACCACAACACAAAGAUGGUGAUCUAAUAACCGAGGUGACUAUUGACGAACAGGUAGGUAGUGUAGACAGCAUAGACCCACUGGGAAAGAGUUGAUUUGUUAUCUGUGAACUGAAACUGUGGAGAGAGAGAUAGACAGACAGAGACAGAGAGAUAGGAGAGACAGAGAGACAGAGAGAGUGCUAGGGAGCUGCAUAUGUGUUAAAGAUUCUCCAAGGCCAAAUGAUGGAAAUUUAGGAUUAUGGCGAGCUAUACUAUUGCAGACCACAGUUAAAUUAUCUUGGGCUAAUUUUAGUUCCUUUGAAAGGCACUCACUGCUCAUACCUAUGUCUGGUCUAACAUGCUUUAUGCCUGUGAAAACUCUAUGAUGUAUUCUUAGCAGAUCACUAGCUUCCAUUCCAAAAGUUAAAAGUGCCAUCAGGUAUUAUCUGAAACCUGUCACAGAGUUGUCCCUGCUUUGCCAUCAGCUGCCUGCCUGCCUGUAACCCCCACUAAUGCAUUUAGCAAACACUUUGAUUUGUGACUUUCUUGGUUAUGUAACUAAUAAGGUCUCAGGUAACCACUUCCAUGGUGAAACAUUUGAGGGUUUGAGAUCUGUGCGGUGUUUCCAGGCCACAGUCACUUGUGCUUGGCUCCAGAAUAAACUCCCUCUUACUCUCAUUGAGGCCAGAACCAUGGUUUUUGCAUCAACAUAUCAAACACGGCUGUGUAAAAACUUAGGAACUUCUUAAGUUCUGGAAAUUUCCAUUUAAUACUUCCGGAUUAUGAUCAGUCAUGGUUGCUGAGCUAGUGGAAAGUGAAGCCACAGGCAAGAGGGACUUCUGCAAAACUCUAGCCCAGAGCUUUGUAGUCAGGCCUUUGGCCCUCAUCUCUAAAGGUCACUCUCUCUGGAUCCCCAGGCUGAGCCUUUAGAGUGUUGGGAUUUGAAGUGAGGCAUUUCCGGUGUCUAUCUUGAUGCUUCACCCUAAAGUUGACCCACAGACCUGUUAGAAAGGGUGGACCCCAAGCCUAGCCAGGGCAUCAACGCUGGGAAGGGGAGGAGGGAAGCAGCCCUCAAAGCCAAAGACUUUUUGUCUGACUCCCUACAGGAAUUACCUGAGGGGCCUUAAAAACCCCGGAUCCCAGGCCCUCUGAGAGACUCUCAUUUAGCAGUGUGGAGGGCAGCUUUGGCUGGUGGUUCUAGAAGCCCCCGGUAAUUCCAGGGAGUAGCAGAGCUUGAGAAACACUGCUGUUGCUGUUACCGAAUGGCUGGGGCAGAGGAUGGAAGGCAGUACCAAAGAUGUCACCUGCCUGCCUGCUAGAAAUGAGGGUUCUCUGCCCAGGCCUACUGAGCCUGACAUCUGGCUGGU